This 232-nucleotide long non-coding RNA is filed under the name Spirodela polyrhiza (greater duckweed). RNAcentral describes it as "long non-coding RNA (SPOL_LNC002624)". Lineage: Eukaryota; Viridiplantae; Streptophyta; Magnoliopsida; Alismatales; Araceae. The record is from RNAcentral.
UUAGAUUGAAUGAUACCUCAUUGGCAGCAUUGGAUGAGUAGCAAUGUCAAAUGAGAGACAAUACCAAAAAUCGAGUAGCAUCCUUAGGGUUUCAACCCCAAAUAAAGAACGAUGUCGAGAUGUGCAUUAGAUCACAUCAAUGGAGGUGGCAUGGGAUGAUGCCUAAUUGUGUGUGAUGGCACAUGGCUACUAGAGAUGAUACAAGAUAGAAUCCAACUAGUGCUCUGUCAUC